This is a long non-coding RNA of Armigeres subalbatus, 1175 nucleotides long. RefSeq lists it as uncharacterized. The record is from RefSeq and is a predicted model, not a curated record. Lineage: Eukaryota; Metazoa; Arthropoda; Insecta; Diptera; Culicidae. The transcript is spliced from 3 exons.
UCAUGUUAUGACCAGGUUGAAUUAAAAAUAUAAAUAGGAACGAAAACUUUUGCAUAACAUUUUACUCGGAGAUUGGCUGGAUUUAUUUGAGCGUGUACUUUUUGUUUAUGAUUAGUGGAAUGAAAAAAUGAAACUGAUGUUGUGGUGCAGGAAGUGUCCCUUCAUUAUACGGAUUCUGGGAGUGGGCAAGCGGCGGAUCAUAGGCUGCUGUGUUGUGAAGGAAGUUUAUGGUAAAACUGUUGACCGGAGACGGGAAUCCCCUCACAAAGAAUAACAAACUAGAGUUCCCUCUCUACACCACGGCAGGCUACUGACUGAUACUUCUGCCAGCAGCUGCAGUUCUCUUUAUUCAACAAUAGGUAUAUACAAUAAUCCAUAACAAACUUCCUUAAUCUAUACCAUAGAGCAACUACAACUAACCGGCGCCCGCUUCUUAUUCAUCUUCGAUCUACAGCGAAGCGUCGCACACUACCUGAUAUUCCAACAAAAACCACGUAAGACUGAAUAUCGUUCGGCAGCUAUUAUUGGCCUAUCUUACCAAUUAGAUACAAUAAUAACUGAUACAGGUUCACACAUAACCUGAUGUGUUAGAGAAAACGACUAACUUCGAUUCACCCACUCAAGAAAAAACAAGUCGUAUGUAAGUCCUAUAGGAGACAUCAAGCUCUCUUUUCUGGUGGCUGAAAUUACACCGUACUCAGCGAGUAUAGCGAGGUGCAUGAUCGGCGCAUUUGAUUUUAACGUCAAUGCAUCAGUGACUAAGUAAAAGCAAAGCGCCAAACAACAAUACUAACACAUUAACCCUUAAAUGCGCAAUGUUGUUUUAAAACAACAAACCGAAAAUAUGUUUAAUGUUAAUGAUUUCAAUGGUUUUUUACCUUGAAAAUAUUUUCGACGAUUUCUAAAAAAUCGCCUUGCGCCUUUAAGGGUUAGAUUUUGGAUUUAAUGAAAACUAAUUUAAAAUCGAACAAAAACUGGAUCAAAACAAAAUUUAAAUUGAAUUCAAAUGAAAUAUAAUUAAAGUAAAUUGGAAUUAAAUUCAAAUUAAAAUUAUUGUUGAAUCACAUUGAAUUGAAAUUAAAGUAAAAUUAAGUUCAAACUGAUUGAACAUUAACCCUAUACUAAAAUAAAAUUGAAUUGAAAUAAAUUGUAGGACAUAAAGUUGUAUUGUAUUU